This 377-nucleotide unclassified non-coding RNA is filed under the name uncultured Simkaniaceae bacterium. RNAcentral describes it as "contains 16S-23S intergenic spacer region". The record is from RNAcentral. Lineage: Bacteria; Pseudomonadati; Chlamydiota; Chlamydiia; Parachlamydiales; Simkaniaceae.
UCCCAGUUAACCUGGGCAGUCUCAUUAGAGUCCCCACCUCGCGUGUUGGCAACUAAUGAUAAGGGUUGCGCUCGUUGCGGGACUUAACCCAACACCUCACGGCACGAGCUGACGACAGCCAUGCAGCACCUGUUCAGAGACCCUUGCGGGAAAUAACAUCUCUGUUAUCGUCCUCUAAAUUUCAAACCUGGGUAAGGUUCUUCGCGUUGCAUCGAAUUAAACCACAUGCUCCACUGCUUGUGCGGGCCCCCGUCAAUUCUUUUGAGUUUCACCCUUGCGAGCGUACUCCUCAGGCGGUAUACUUAUCGCGUUAGCUUCGACACCAUCAGGGUUGAGCCCAAUGACAUCAAGUAUACAUCGUUUACGGCAAGGACUAC